This is a long non-coding RNA of Rosa rugosa (rugosa rose), 676 nucleotides long. RefSeq lists it as uncharacterized. The record is from RefSeq and is a predicted model, not a curated record. NCBI's taxonomy places the organism in Eukaryota, Viridiplantae, Streptophyta, Magnoliopsida, Rosales, Rosaceae. The transcript has 3 exons.
CAUAUCUUUUUGCAAUUCAAUUUUUAUAUGGUUUAUACUAUGGAGUAGAUUAAUGCUUAGAUGCACUUGGCACAGAACAACAUAACUGAAAUUAGGAGUGAUGCAUUGAAGCUGAUUUUGAUGCAUAAGAGGCCAAUUCCUCGUGUUUCCACAACAAUUGGUGCUUGGCUGAACAUAUUUCAGUUCAUUUGUUGUUACAUCCAUAUGCACCAACUGCGCCCUUCUAGUAUGGUUAUAUGAUCAUGAGGGGAAAUGGAAUAUAGAGCCUGGCAUAGCUGCAAUUCUGGUUAUGGAACAUAUCCUCCUGUUGAUUAAGUUUGGUUUCUCUCGCCUUGUACCCGAGGGCAGCUGGUACUAGUGCUUGCUUAAGAAGGAAGAAUGAGGUUGGAGGUGGAACGUUUUGGUAGCUUCUGGAAAUUAUAAAAACAGUAGUUCUCCAAAAGCUGAUUUUUUGAGUUUCUGCAAAUUUUCAGUUUAGGAUGCAGUCACCAAUUUUGUUUUCUUGUUUUUGGUUUUUGCGUUGUUCCUAUAGUAGAUUGAGUUGCUGGUUUUGUAAGUAGACGUGUAGGACCAUACAACAUUGAUUUUUAUGUUCUUGAGUUAAAUGCCUCACUAAGCUGCAUUGAUUUUUAUGUUCUUGAGUUGCUGGUUUGUAUCAGUUUGUUGGUUUCCAGUG